GUUCUCCCGCAACGCUACUCUGUUUACCAGGUCAGGUCCGGAAGGAAGCAGCCAAGGCAGAUGACGCGUGUGCCGGGAUGUAGCUGGCAGGG
RNAcentral lists this signal recognition particle RNA (92 nucleotides) under Escherichia coli. RNAcentral's name for it is "partial signal recognition particle sRNA small type". It matches the Rfam family "Bacterial small signal recognition particle RNA". Rfam says of the family: The signal recognition particle (SRP) is a universally conserved ribonucleoprotein involved in the co-translational targeting of proteins to membranes. Archaeal SRP consists of a 7S RNA and homologues of the eukaryotic SRP19 and SRP54 proteins. The record is from RNAcentral. Lineage: Bacteria; Pseudomonadati; Pseudomonadota; Gammaproteobacteria; Enterobacterales; Enterobacteriaceae. RNAcentral also lists the same sequence under 1 other name.